Zea mays is the source of this 769-nucleotide long non-coding RNA. RefSeq lists it as uncharacterized. Lineage: Eukaryota; Viridiplantae; Streptophyta; Magnoliopsida; Poales; Poaceae. The record is from RefSeq and is a predicted model, not a curated record. The transcript is spliced from 2 exons.
CGAGCUGAGCCGAGCCUGAUCGAGCCCGAGCCGGCUCGCGAGCCUCGAGCUUUUUUUCCAGCCCUAGGCAGGAGCAAGGAGGAUGAGAGAGAUCUCCAGAGUUCCACGCCUCCACCAGACCACCACCCAUUUGUCCCCGACCCCGACCGCUGCUGCACAUCAUCCUCCCGCCGCUCGGCGUCUUCCUCCGAUUCGGCUGCUGCAGAGAGCAGACUAUUCAAUCCGUAACAGUGGUGCUACAAGAGAAUGGGAUGUACCUGUAUUCCUGAACCCUGAGAGCAAUUAAUCCUGAGAGCAAUUAACCGGUCUCCGUUCGCAGCCCCCUCCACUUCCUCUGCAGCUCCGGUGAUAUGGGCAGUGGAUUCGGGUGCCGCCAGAUCUUGCGCCUCAUCCCGUGAUCUGGAGGCGGCACGUCUUCAUGUCGAUGAUGAUAGCCCAGCGUGCAGCCAGCCAAAUAUGUUAUCAGAAUGAUUCUGUUUCCCGGUGCUGAUUGCUCGUGCACAUGUGCAUGCAGCCCAGCGAUUCGGAUAGAUCGCGAGCACCUGUGUAGACUGUUUGCAGCGGAUGCUGCUCUGGAACUGGAAGCUUUGUUUAAUGACACCUUCGGAUUGCAAGGACCUGCACCCUUACCUGCCCACUUGAGCGUAUCCGCGUAUAUGCUUUGCUCACUUGUCCGGAUAAUCUGGUACACUGAUGAUAUAUGCUGGUUGAUUCAGCCGUAGUGUAUUUAUUCUGAAAAAAAAUAUCACAUCUGAUUCUCUUCUUGAUU